UACGUAGGGCGCAAGCGUUGUCCGGAAUUAUUGGGCGUAAAGAGCUCGUAGGCGGCCUGUUGCGUCCGCUGUGAAAUCCCGGGGCUCAACCCCGAACUUGCAGUGGGUACGGGCAGACUAGAGUGUGGUAGGGGAGACUGGAAUUCCUGGUGUAGCGGUGAAAUGCGCAGAUAUCAGGAGGAACACCGAUGGCGAAGGCAGGUCUCUGGGCCGACUACUGACGCUGAGAAGCGAAAGCAUGGGGAGCGAACAGG
This 254-nucleotide ribosomal RNA is filed under the name uncultured bacterium. RNAcentral's name for it is "partial 16S ribosomal RNA". It matches the Rfam family "Bacterial small subunit ribosomal RNA", at positions 524 to 776 of the family's 1533-position model. The record is from RNAcentral.